This 545-nucleotide ribosomal RNA is filed under the name uncultured Glomus. RNAcentral's name for it is "SSU rRNA". It matches the Rfam family "Eukaryotic small subunit ribosomal RNA", at positions 548 to 1098 of the family's 1831-position model. Lineage: Eukaryota; Fungi; Glomeromycota; Glomeromycetes; Glomerales; Glomeraceae. The record is from RNAcentral.
UUGGAGGGCAAGUCUGGUGCCAGCAGCCGCGGUAAUUCCAGCUCCAAUAGCGUAUAUUAAAGUUGUUGCAGUUAAAAAGCUCGUAGUUGAAUUUCGGGGUCAAUAGGUUGGUCGUGCCAAUGGUAUGUACUGGCUUUAUUGAUUCCUACCUCUUGACGAACUGUGAUGCCAUUAAUUUGGUGUUGCAGGAAAUCAGGACUGUUACCUUGAAAAAAUUAGAGUGUUUAAAGCAGGCUUACGCUUGAAUACAUAGCAUGGAAUAAUGAAAUAGGACGUUUGAACCUAUUUUGUUGGUUUCUAGGAUCGACGUAAUGAUUAAUAGGGAUAGUUGGGGGCAUUAGUAUUCAAUUGUCAGAGGUGAAAUUCUUGGAUUUAUUGAAGACUAACUACUGCGAAAGCAUUUGCCAAGGAUGUUUUCAUUAAUCAAGAACGAAAGUUAGGGGAUCGAAGACGAUCAGAUACCGUCGUAGUCUUAACCAUAAACUAUGCCGACUAGGGAUCGGACGGUGGUUUUUUUAUGCCCCGUUCGGCACCUUACGGGAAAC